Molecule: small nucleolar RNA, 187 nt
Organism: Python bivittatus (Burmese python)
Lineage: Eukaryota; Metazoa; Chordata; Lepidosauria; Squamata; Pythonidae
Product: small nucleolar RNA SNORD97
Source: RefSeq, a predicted model, not a curated record
AAGCCCAAUGAUUAUAACAAGACGCGUUAUUACGAGGAUCAGCACUGGAACUCUCCUUCUACCUUCCUGCUAUUCACUUUUUCCCCAAAUUAUCUUUUCAACUUCACUCCUCUUCUUCUCUUUCUUUCCCCUUCCCUUCUUGGAGUUUCCAGUAUCCUGUGAGCAAGAUUAUGAGAUAUGAGGGCUA